Molecule: transfer RNA, 74 nt
Filed under: Streptomyces sp. PVA_94-07
Lineage: Bacteria; Bacillati; Actinomycetota; Actinomycetes; Kitasatosporales; Streptomycetaceae
Source: RNAcentral
AAUUCCCCGAGACCUUCCGCCGCGCCGACGGCGCGCCCGCGCCCGUCGCUGUCCUCACCACCGGGCGCCGCUCC